AUCAACGUUUUCUCUCACAUGUUUUUUUAUUACUUUCUGAACGAAAAUUCCCUCAAUUCCUAGAAGAGAAUUUUAUUUUCAAAACCUGAAAACUGUAUUUCUUAGUUUUUUUAUUAAUUUUUUUUCUAUUUUCUUGUCUUUUCAAAUAUUGUUGUGUUUUUUAGAAAUAACUCUUAAUUUUUCAUGCAUUAAAAACAAAAAUGAUACAGAAAACUCUUUUAUUAAGAAAUAGUUGGUGAGAAAGUUCACACAGGAUGAUUCUCAACGAACAUCGGGAUCCGUUUUGUAUCAUAUACGUUCCCUCAAUAAUUUUCAAUUGUCAAAUUUGCUUCCCGUUUUCCAUGUAACAAACACUUGCAUUUUUCAAAGGCAGGUUGGCUCCUUUCACUUGCUGAGGAUUUUUACCAGAGACAUAUGAUAGUGAGGUCAAUUGAUAGGACUGUUUUGCCAGCAUGUAGAAAGAACUGCCCAGGACCCAUCAAGCAGGGACACCUCCACUUGCAGGUUAUCCCUGUAAAUGAACUUGACUACCUGGUUAACCCGUUACCGUCCGAUACUUAACAUUCUGGUCUGGUAGGUCCAGAUCCAAAGUGCUUGAUGCAUGCCAUGAUCCUGAUGUGGGAUGGUGAUGUUUUUUCUUCUCUUGCUCGGUGCUGUUCACCUUUUUUACUUUGUU
This 676-nucleotide long non-coding RNA is filed under the name Populus trichocarpa (black cottonwood). RNAcentral describes it as "long non-coding RNA (PTRI_LNC000054)". Lineage: Eukaryota; Viridiplantae; Streptophyta; Magnoliopsida; Malpighiales; Salicaceae. The record is from RNAcentral.